Molecule: ribosomal RNA, 496 nt
Filed under: uncultured bacterium
Lineage: Bacteria
Description: partial 16S ribosomal RNA
Rfam family: Bacterial small subunit ribosomal RNA
Source: RNAcentral
UGGGGAAUAUUGCACAAUGGGCGCAAGCCUGAUGCAGCAACGCCGCGUGAGGGAUGACGGCCUUCGGGUUGUAAACCUCUUUUAGCAGGGAAGAAGCGAAAGUGACGGUACCUGCAGAAAAAGCACCGGCUAACUACGUGCCAGCAGCCGCGGUAAUACGUAGGGUGCAAGCGUUGUCCGGAAUUAUUGGGCGUAAAGAGCUCGUAGGCGGUCUGUCGCGUCUGCUGUGAAAUCCCGAGGCUCAACCUCGGGCCUGCAGUGGGUACGGGCAGACUAGAGUGCGGUAGGGGAGAAUGGAACUCCUGGUGUAGCGGUGGAAUGCGCAGAUAUCAGGAAGAACACCGAUGGCGAAGGCAGUUCUCUGGGCCGUAACUGACGCUGAGGAGCGAAAGCGUGGGGAGCGAACAGGAUUAGAUACCCUGGUAGUCCACGCCGUAAACGUUGGGCGCUAGAUGUGGGGACCAUUCCACGGUUUCCGUGUCGCAGCUAACGCAUU